GAGGAUAUAGCUCAAUGGUAGAGCACAUGCUUGGCUUGCAGGAGGUCCUGGGUUCAAAUCCCCAGUACCUCA
RNAcentral lists this transfer RNA (72 nucleotides) under Camelus bactrianus (Bactrian camel). It matches the Rfam family "tRNA". From Rfam's summary of the family: Transfer RNA (tRNA) molecules are approximately 80 nucleotides in length. The record is from Rfam by way of RNAcentral. RNAcentral also lists the same sequence under 2 other names. Lineage: Eukaryota; Metazoa; Chordata; Mammalia; Artiodactyla; Camelidae.